GGCAGCGUGGCCGAGUGGUCUAAGGCGCUGGUUUUAAGCACCAUUCUCUUCGGAGGCGUGGGUUCGAAUCCCACCGCUGCCA
RNAcentral lists this transfer RNA (82 nucleotides) under Penaeus chinensis. RNAcentral's name for it is "tRNA-Leu". It matches the Rfam family "tRNA". Rfam says of the family: Transfer RNA (tRNA) molecules are approximately 80 nucleotides in length. The record is from RNAcentral. Lineage: Eukaryota; Metazoa; Arthropoda; Malacostraca; Decapoda; Penaeidae.